RNAcentral lists this long non-coding RNA (200 nucleotides) under Homo sapiens (human). Its description in RNAcentral is "HSALNT0044783". Lineage: Eukaryota; Metazoa; Chordata; Mammalia; Primates; Hominidae. The record is from RNAcentral.
UUUUAAACCAAUCUUCCAGGAGAUUAAUCAAUGAAAUUUAUAAGUUUUAUCAACGUAUAAAAUUUUUUUCAUCUUCUGGGACUCAUAGAAUACAAUCUGUGGAGGGCUUUUCUAAUUUCGUAUUUGACUAUUUCAGAAAGAAAGGUUAUCUUUUACUGGUGAGCACAGUCAUUGCUCUGCAGAUGGGCUAGGAUUCAAAG